This 253-nucleotide ribosomal RNA is filed under the name uncultured bacterium. Its description in RNAcentral is "partial 16S ribosomal RNA". It matches the Rfam family "Bacterial small subunit ribosomal RNA", at positions 524 to 776 of the family's 1533-position model. The record is from RNAcentral.
UACGUAGGGGGCAAGCGUUAUCCGGAUUUACUGGGUGUAAGGGGAGCGUAGACGGCAGGGCAAGUCUGGAGUGAAAGGCAGGGGCCCAACCCCUGGACUGCUCUGGAAACUGUCCGGCUGGAGUGCAGGUGAGGUAAGUGGAAUUCCUAGUGUAGCGGUGAAAUGCGUAGAUAUUAGGAGGAACACCAGUGGCGAAGGCGGCUUACUGGACUGUAACUGACGUUGAGGCUCGAAAGCGUGGGGAGCAAACAGG